AUCUCUCAGCCAGUGAUGAAUUACUGCUAUUAUUAUUGCUUGCUGAGUUCGUCCAUGAUUCAUUUAGACUCCUGUCCAGCAAAUUGCUGGAUGAAUCCAGGAAGUUCUGUGGAGAAGGAAGCUUGUUUCAAUAACAGCACAUCGUUCACGUCGCGGUUCACACAAAAUGAGACCUCCUUCUCCCAUGUCUUGUCGACAUUGCUGAAACACCGCACCCUUGCAUCUUAACUCUGCAGUGAAUCCAGCUUUGGUGUCCUCCCAAUCAUCUGCAGCCUUACAGAAUGGUUCCCCUACUGUAUGAAAGAAAGGGGGAACAAGCCAGCGACGAUACCAGACAACACUUACACGAUGUCAAGCCGCAUUUGUGGAGACAAUAAAAGAGAUGUUUGAUGGGAAGUCACGGUAGCAGUGACCAAAAGAGGUGUUUUAAACUAAAACAUAGAUUGUUUCCUGAACCCCAACCGCAAACCACAGGCACAGUGUUGUCACAAGAUGAACUUUAAAAAAAAAAAAAGUUACCUUAAGAAGUAAACUUGCGACAUAAAGAAAUGUAGAGUUUCAGCACAGCCGUGGUUUGCCGCAACAUACAUUGUUAACAUACAUUCUUUCUAAGAAUACUGUAUUUUUCAUACGAUUGUGCAUUUGAGGGCAAUUGAGGAAUGUUUGACCAAAGCUAUAA
Molecule: long non-coding RNA, 679 nt
Organism: Acanthopagrus latus (yellowfin seabream)
Lineage: Eukaryota; Metazoa; Chordata; Actinopteri; Spariformes; Sparidae
Exons: 4
Source: RefSeq, a predicted model, not a curated record